UACGUAGGCAGCAAGCGUUGUUCGGAAUUACUGGGCGUAAAGAGUGUGUAGGCGGUGCUCCAAGUCUGGUGUGAAAUCCCUCGGCUUAACCGAGGAACUGCCGUCCAAACUGCUUCGCUUGAGACCGGGAGAGGUGAGUGGAAUUCCCAGUGUAGCGGUGAAAUGCGUAGAUAUUGGGAGGAACACCAGUGGCGAAGGCGGCUCACUGGACCGGUACUGACGCUGAGGCGCGAAAGCGUGGGGAGCAAACGGG
Molecule: ribosomal RNA, 253 nt
Filed under: uncultured bacterium
Lineage: Bacteria
Description: partial 16S ribosomal RNA
Rfam family: Bacterial small subunit ribosomal RNA
Source: RNAcentral